RNAcentral lists this ribosomal RNA (195 nucleotides) under uncultured bacterium. RNAcentral describes it as "partial 16S ribosomal RNA". It matches the Rfam family "Bacterial small subunit ribosomal RNA", at positions 1307 to 1500 of the family's 1533-position model. The record is from RNAcentral.
GAAAUUCGACUUCAUGAAGCUGGAAUUGCUAGUAAUGGCAGGUCAGCAUACUGCCGUGAAUACGUUCCCGGGCCCUUGUACACACCGCCCGUCACACCAUGAGAGUUGGGAAUACCCGAAGCCUGUGAGCUAACUGUAAAGAGGCAGCAGUCGAAGGUAGAAUCAAUGAUUGGGGUGAAGUCGUAACAAGGUACC